Molecule: ribosomal RNA, 467 nt
Filed under: uncultured bacterium
Lineage: Bacteria
Description: partial 16S ribosomal RNA
Rfam family: Bacterial small subunit ribosomal RNA
Source: RNAcentral
GACGAACGCUGGCGGCGUGCUUAACACAUGCAAGUCGAACGGAAAGGCCUCUUUCGGGGGGUACUCGAGUGGCGAACGGGUGAGUAACACGUGAGUAACCUGCCCUUGACUUUGGGAUAACUUCAGGAAACUGGGGCUAAUACCGGCUAGGAGCUCCUGCUGCAUGGUGGGGGUUGGAAAGUUUCGGCGGUUGGGGAUGGACUCGCGGCGUAUCAGCUUGUUGGUGGGGUAGUGGCUUACCAAGGCUUUGACGGGUAGCCGGCCUGAGAGGGUGACCGGCCACAUUGGGACUGAGAUACGGCCCAGACUCCUACGGGAGGCAGCAGUGGGGAAUAUUGCACAAUGGGUGGAAGCCUGAUGCAGCAGCGCCGUGUGCGGGAUGACGGCCUUCGGGUUGUAAACCGCUUUCGCUCAUGACGAAGCUUUGUGUGACGGUAGUGGGUAAAGAAGCACCGGCUAACUACGUG